Molecule: ribosomal RNA, 253 nt
Filed under: uncultured bacterium
Lineage: Bacteria
Description: partial 16S ribosomal RNA
Rfam family: Bacterial small subunit ribosomal RNA
Source: RNAcentral
UACGUAGGGGGCUAGCGUUGUCCGGAAUCAUUGGGCGUAAAGCGCGCGUAGGCGGUCAGGUAAGUCCGGUGUGAAAGUCAAAGGCUCAACCUUUGAAUGCCGCUGGAUACUGCCUGACUUGAGUCCGGGAGAGGUGAGUGGAAUUCCCAGUGUAGCGGUGAAAUGCGUAGAUAUUGGGAGGAACACCAGUGGCGAAGGCGGCUCACUGGACCGGAACUGACGCUGAGGCGCGAAAGCGUGGGGAGCAAACGGG